GAUGAACGCUGGCGGCGUGCCUAAUACAUGCAAGUCGAGCGAACGGACGAGAAGCUUGCUUCUCUGAUGUUAGCGGCGGACGGGUGAGUAACACGUGGAUAACCUACCUAUAAGACUGGGAUAACUUCGGGAAACCGGAGCUAAUACCGGAUAAUAUUUUGAACCGCAUGGUUCAAAAGUGAAAGACGGUCUUGCUGUCACUUAUAGAUGGAUCCGCGCUGCAUUAGCUAGUUGGUAAGGUAACGGCUUACCAAGGCAACGAUGCAUAGCCGACCUGAGAGGGUGAUGGGCCACACUGGAACUGAGACACGGUCCAGACUCCUACGGGAGGCAACAGUAGGGAAUCUUCCGCAAUGGGCGAAAGCCUGACGGAGCAACGCCGCGUGAGUGAUGAAGGUCUUCGGAUCGUAAAACUCUGUUAUUAGGGAAGAACAUAUGUGUAAGUAACUGUGCACAUCUUGACGGUACCUAAUCAGAAAGCCACGGCUAACUACGUG
RNAcentral lists this ribosomal RNA (497 nucleotides) under uncultured bacterium. RNAcentral's name for it is "partial 16S ribosomal RNA". It matches the Rfam family "Bacterial small subunit ribosomal RNA", at positions 28 to 507 of the family's 1533-position model. The record is from RNAcentral.